This 249-nucleotide ribosomal RNA is filed under the name uncultured bacterium. RNAcentral's name for it is "partial 16S ribosomal RNA". It matches the Rfam family "Bacterial small subunit ribosomal RNA", at positions 524 to 773 of the family's 1533-position model. The record is from RNAcentral.
UACGAAGGGGGGCUAGCGUUGCUCGGAAUCACUGGGCGUAAAGCGCACGUAGGCGGCUUCUUAAGUCAGGGGUGAAAUCCUGGAGCUCAACUCCAGAACUGCCUUCGAUACUGGAGUCUGAGUCCGGGAGAGGUGAGUGGAACUGCGAGUGUAGAGGUGAAAUUCGUAGAUAUUCGCAAGAACACCAGUGGCGAAGGCGGCUCACUGGCCCGGUACUGACGCUGAGGUGCGAAAGCGUGGGGAGCAACA